AUUGAACGCUGGCGGCAGGCCUAACACAUGCAAGUCGAGCGGAUGAAGGGAGCUUGCUCCUGGAUUCAGCGGCGGACGGGUGAGUAAUGCCUAGGAAUCUGCCUGGUAGUGGGGGAUAACGUCCGGAAACGGGCGCUAAUACCGCAUACGUCCUGAGGGAGAAAGUGGGGGAUCUUCGGACCUCACGCUAUCAGAUGAGCCUAGGUCGGAUUAGCUAGUUGGUGGGGUAAAGGCCUACCAAGGCGACGAUCCGUAACUGGUCUGAGAGGAUGAUCAGUCACACUGGAACUGAGACACGGUCCAGACUCCUACGGGAGGCAGCAGUGGGGAAUAUUGGACAAUGGGCGAAAGCCUGAUCCAGCCAUGCCGCGUGUGUGAAGAAGGUCUUCGGAUUGUAAAGCACUUUAAGUUGGGAAGAAGGUCAGUAAGUUAAUACCUUGCUGUUUUGACGUUACCAACAGAAUAAGCACCGGCUAACUUCGUG
This 484-nucleotide ribosomal RNA is filed under the name uncultured bacterium. Its description in RNAcentral is "partial 16S ribosomal RNA". It matches the Rfam family "Bacterial small subunit ribosomal RNA", at positions 30 to 507 of the family's 1533-position model. The record is from RNAcentral.